GAUGAACGCUGGCGGCGUGCCUAAUACAUGCAAGUCGAGCGAACAGACGAGGAGUUUGCUCCUCUGACGUUAGCAGCGGUCGGGAGAGUAACACGUGGAUAACCUACCUAUAAGACUGGGAUAACUUCGGGAAACCGGGUCUAAUACCGGAUAAUAUAUUGAACCGGAUGGGUCACUAGUGAAAUACGGUUUUUCUUUCACUUAUAGAUGGAUCCGCGCCGCAUUAGUGAGUUGGUAAGGUGAGGGCUUACCAAGGCGAAGAGUCGUAGCCGACCCGGGAGAGUGAUCGGACACAGUGGAACAGAGACACGGUCCAGACUGCGACUGGAGGCAGCAGUAGAGACUCAUGCGAGAUGGGAGAAGGGAAGACGGAGCAACGCCGCGUGAGUGAUGAAGGUCAUCGGAUGGUAAAAAUCUGUUAUUAGGGAAGAAAAAAUGUGUAAGUAACUAUGCACGUCUAGACGAUACGGAGUCAGAAAGCCGCGUAUCACUACG
This 495-nucleotide ribosomal RNA is filed under the name uncultured bacterium. Its description in RNAcentral is "partial 16S ribosomal RNA". It matches the Rfam family "Bacterial small subunit ribosomal RNA", at positions 28 to 505 of the family's 1533-position model. The record is from RNAcentral.